CAGUCGCCGCGGGAAUACAGAGGGUGCGAGCGUUAAUCGGAUUUACUGGGCGUAAAGCGUGCGUAGGCGGCUUCUUAAGUCGGAUGUGAAAUCCCUGAGCUUAACUUAGGAAUUGCAUUCGAUACUGGGAAGCUAGAGUAUGGGAGAGGAUGGUAGAAUUCCAGGUGUAGCGGUGAAAUGCGUAGAGAUCUGGAGGAAUACCGAUGGCGAAGGCAGCCAUCUGGCCUAAUACUGACGCUGAGGUAAGAAAGCAUGGGGAGCAAACAGGAUUAGAUACCCCUGUAGUCCCUGUCUCUUAUAU
RNAcentral lists this ribosomal RNA (301 nucleotides) under uncultured bacterium. Its description in RNAcentral is "partial 16S ribosomal RNA". It matches the Rfam family "Bacterial small subunit ribosomal RNA", at positions 509 to 809 of the family's 1533-position model. The record is from RNAcentral.